AGUUGUAAUUUGCAGAGGAUGCUUCGGGUACGGGUUCCUUCCGAGUUCCCUGGAACGGGACGCCAUAGAGGGUGAGAGCCCCGUC
Molecule: ribosomal RNA, 85 nt
Filed under: Gibellulopsis nigrescens
Lineage: Eukaryota; Fungi; Ascomycota; Sordariomycetes; Glomerellales; Plectosphaerellaceae
Description: partial large subunit ribosomal RNA
Source: RNAcentral